CGCUUUUAUUUUGAAGCGGAAGCGCGCCUCCUGCUGUUCAGUGACGGAACACACACUUCCGCUCAACGCUGAACACAUUCCGAGCUAAAUAUAGCUAAUAUAGCUGGAGCUGAAGUAACUUUAGUUCUCUGUUUGCUGAACUGUUGUGUAAAAGCAGCCAGCGGUCGUGUAUCUGAACCGAAUCGUGUGUCAGUCUGAAUGUCACUGAAUCACUCGUGUUCGGUCAGAUUUCUGUUCAUUCGUUGAAAAACAAUUCCUGUCUGCCUUCAAUAUUCAGUGUAAUCCAAUCAUAUUCUACUUAACCAAAUUUGUUCUGCAUAAAUGUAAAUAUGGGGAAACACGGACAGAAAAGUUCAGUAAUGGACAGAAGUUCAGUAAUGCCUAAAAAGCUUAAAAAACAGGUGGAGACAAAUCCCUGUCAGUGAGCGAGUCAUUUGAAUCAUUGACUCAACUGAUUCGUUUAAACGGGAACGAAGCACCUGCGCGAAAACGGACUAACUGUAAGUUAUAUGAGCGCAAAACGCACUUCUCCUUCUUCUUCUUUUAACUGAAGAUUGUGUAAAAGCAAUAUCACACUGGCAGUCACGAAUGUAAUGAAUCGUGUAAGUGAAUCAACUCCGCUGCUUUACUGAAUUCUGUGCUGGAGCAUUCAACAAGAUAAAGAGAGAUACUGAACUGAAAUUCAUUGCAACUGUGAUGCAUUCAUUAUAUUCAUAACAGUACAGCACAUAGACAGAAACAUUCACCAUGAACGUACACACGAGAACAUACAAACCAGUAACAUUGCUUUUAACAAACACUUCAGGUGACCUUUGACCCCUGAUGCCUAUAUUUUAUAGCAAACACAAUCUGUUGACUGUGUUCUUUAGGCUAGUGUGUCGCUAUGAAUCGAUCACAGAUCUGAUGAUUUCAUCAUAACAGUGUGUUAUAACUCUGUUUUAACCCUCUGGUCAUUCAGUCACACUGAAAGGUAAAUGCUCUUUUUUCAUUUUUUAAAUCUUCUAUUUUUAUCACAGCGGUAUGAAACCUUUGUGGCACUUGCUCUAUGAACACAAACACGCAUACAUUUUAAUCUCAACGCCAACAAAAUUCUUGCAGUUCGGUCAUGAAGUCUGCUAAUCUAAAUGCAAAACCUGUUCAAACACACAAUAGCUACUAUGAUUCGCUUUAUUUAUAAAUAAUGGCGUUUUGUAAUAUUUGUGCUGCUUUAAUUAUUUGUUAGACGUAAGUGCCGCACUAUCCCCUUAAAAUACAACAUACUAAUGGAAUAAAAUCUUUAUUAGUUUGAUGUGGUUGAGAGAAUGAGAGACAAGUCGGUGUGAUUUACAUCCUUUCACUUGUGUUACAGAUCUCGAGGCGUCUUCCUAACGUUGUGGUUUAAUUGUAAAAUGUCAUUGCAUCCAGGAUUACGACCCAAAGAAGUGAACACACAAUGAUUCAUCAGCAGCGGCGUGACGCUAAAGAUCAAGUUAAACGCCGUACAUUUGCUGAACGUGACAAAUACAAAAAAAAGCAAACAAUAUGGCCGCUAAUAA
This is a long non-coding RNA of Puntigrus tetrazona (Sumatra barb), 1535 nucleotides long. RefSeq lists it as uncharacterized. The record is from RefSeq and is a predicted model, not a curated record. Lineage: Eukaryota; Metazoa; Chordata; Actinopteri; Cypriniformes; Cyprinidae. The transcript is spliced from 2 exons.